GAUGAACGCUGGCGGCGUGCCUAAUACAUGCAAGUCGAGCGAACAGACGAGGAGCUUGCUCCUCUGACGUUAGCGGCGGACGGGUGAGUAACACGUUGAUAACCUACCUAUAAGACUGGGAUAACUUCGGGAAACCGGAGCUAAUACCGGAUAAUAUAUUGAACCGCAUGGUUCAAUAGUGAAAGACGGUUUUGCUGUCACUUAUAGAUGGAUCCGCGCCGCAUUAGCUAGUUGGUAAGGUAACGGCUUACCAAGGCAACGAUGCGUAGCCGACCUGAGAGGGUGAGCGGCCACACUGGAACUGAGACACGGUCCAGAAUCCUACGGGAGGCAGCAGUAGGGAAUCUUCCGCAAUGGGCGAAAGCUUGACGGAGCAACGCCGCGUGAGUGAUGAAGGUCUUCGGAUCGUAAAACUCUGUUAUUAGGGAAGAACAAAUGUGAAGUAACUAUGCACGUCUUGACGGUACCUAAUCAGAAAGCCACGGCUAACUACGUG
This 496-nucleotide ribosomal RNA is filed under the name uncultured bacterium. RNAcentral's name for it is "partial 16S ribosomal RNA". It matches the Rfam family "Bacterial small subunit ribosomal RNA", at positions 28 to 507 of the family's 1533-position model. The record is from RNAcentral.